CCCCAGACUCCUACGGGAGGCAGCAGUGGGGAAUAUUGGGCAAUGGGCGCAAGCCUGACCCAGCAACGCCGCGUGAAGGAAGAAGGCCCUCGGGUUGUAAACUUCUUUUCUAUAGGACGAAGAAGUGACGGUACUAUAGGAAUAAGCCACGGCUAACUACGUGCCGGCAGCCGCGGUAAUGCGUAGGUGGCGAGCGUUAUCCGGAUUUACUGGGUGUAAAGGGCGUGUAGGCGGGAGAGCAAGUCAGAUGUGAAAACUACAGGCUUAACCUGUAGCCUGCAUUUGAAACUGUUCUUCUUGAGUGAUGGAGAGGCAGGCGGAAUUCCUAGUGUAGCGGUGAAAUGCGUAGAUAUCAGGAGGAACACCGGCGGCGAAGGCGGCCUGCUGGACCGCGACUGACGUUGAGGCUCGAAAGCGUGGGGAGCGAACAGGAUUAGAUACCCUUGUAU
RNAcentral lists this ribosomal RNA (449 nucleotides) under uncultured bacterium. RNAcentral describes it as "bacterial SSU rRNA". It matches the Rfam family "Bacterial small subunit ribosomal RNA", at positions 329 to 793 of the family's 1533-position model. The record is from RNAcentral.